This 57-nucleotide microRNA precursor is filed under the name Mus musculus (house mouse). Its description in RNAcentral is "Mmu-Mir-3110_pre stem-loop". Lineage: Eukaryota; Metazoa; Chordata; Mammalia; Rodentia; Muridae. The record is from RNAcentral.
UUCUGCCUCCCCUGAAGGCUCUGUUGUCACUCUGGGCACUCCAUCGGAGGCAGACAC